Long non-coding RNA from Papaver somniferum (opium poppy), 4600 nucleotides. RefSeq lists it as uncharacterized. The transcript has 4 exons. Lineage: Eukaryota; Viridiplantae; Streptophyta; Magnoliopsida; Ranunculales; Papaveraceae. The record is from RefSeq and is a predicted model, not a curated record.
CAUUUGGAUCUCUCAGUUCUUGAGGGAGAUCUCCAUGAUAUUAUUUUUAUGAUGAUUUUUCCUUCUUUUUCUCCUCAUGAUUUGUUGUUUUCUCUUAUCUGUUUUGAUGUGUUUUCAUUUUUGUUGAAUUUGAUUUAGCUUAUUGGUUGUUUAUUUUAGGGUUUGUUGCUGUUUGUCACAUGGACAUGCAUGUAGAUGGAAUCUUUCUUUGGGCAAGUCUUUUGAAAGGAUUUUAUUGUGUGGUGUGUUUCAGCUUCUUUAAUUUGAUGCAAUUUGGAUGAGAUAGUUCUGUGGACUGAAGCUUUGCAUGACAACGAGAGAGAGCACGCCUGUCUGCACUCAUGAAAUGGAGAUGAUUGUGUACAAGAGUGCUUUCUCUCGGUGUCAUAUGAUCUUGUAAUCUGCAAAGUAUGCAAUCUUUAUGCAAGUCUGCCUGCCGUCAUUGAUGAGCUUGAAAUAAUGGACAAUUAAAAUGGAGGGAAGUCCUAAGAUUGUUACUCAACUUAUGACUUGUUAUUUAGUGUAUCGCAUGUGUUUGAAGUGUACCGCAUGUGUUUGAUGGUUUGCGUAUAUGGUUCAUAUAUUUUAUGUUCAUCACUUGGUUACCACUUACUACAAGUUAUUGUUAUUUACCACCCAUCUUUUGUCAAUCAUGUCAUUUGUUAUGACUUGGUUCAAACUUCUUGCACAGUUAAUUGCUUAUAUGGGAGUGAUUAGAGGGAGCUUCUCCCAUAUGUUUGCUAUAUUUCCUCUAAGCAUUGAUGUGAAAGAGUUUCUCCCAAGAAAAAUUAAGUGUUCCAUUUACUUAUCUAAGCUUGCCAUGAGCGUCGAAAAAUGUUAGCCUUACCGACUUACUACAUGCUGUAAUUUUGGAACUCUCAAUCGAUGUUAACAUAUCUAACGAGCAGCUAUCCAAUUGCCUAUCAUCUUGAUUAAUGUCGUUGUUUUUCUGACAUGAUAAAGAGGCUACACUAAUAACCUUGUAGUAUUUGGUGCUGGCACAAAAGGUUUAACUAGAUCUGCAUAUCCAGAGAUAAGAGUGUCAAGAAAAAGAAGUCGGUAUGAUGAAUUUGUUUCUCCUUCUGAUGUUAGAUAGUCUUUUUUUUUUUGGUUCUGAUCAAAUAGCUGGGGAUGUUAGAUAGUCAUACACUAUGAUUUUUUUUUUUUAAUAACUUCAUCCUUCAGGCUAAAGCAUAGAUCGCGAAACUGUUUUGUGAUGGAUGCCUGGCAUCAUGUUUAAUUAAUUUCUUUUUACCAAAAAUACUGAAUGAAUAACCUGAGCAUUGACGGAGUCGUGGAAAGUCUCAAUUGCGAUAUGUGGCCAUGUCUUGCUUAUGUAGACCCUGGUUAUUGAGUUGAGAAAAAACUGAAUAGAGUGCUUUUAUUUGUAGUAAUUGCAUGAGACAAACUUGCAUAGGCAUUAACUUGAAAUUGGAGCUAGGUACCGUAGAACAGGAUGUAAUUGCCAACCCGAAAGAGGAUAAAGUUUUCUUCUGAUUUGUUUCAAUUUUGAUGCGAAUCUGGUCAAUUAUGGAGCACUCUUAUUAUGAUUUUAAAAUUAGUUUCGGUUUCUUUUUUGUUUCUUUUGCAGGCUGAUGAGUUAGCUUUGUUGACUAAAGCUAUGCUUGAGAAUGAGAGAGAGCACUUUUGUCCGCGCUCAUACAAAUGACAUGGUUGCAUACAGGAGUGCUCUCUCUUAGUGUCAUUCAAUCUCGAUACAAGUGAAGCAUGGAAUGCUUAAUAUUUUCUCUUAUUGAUCAUGAAAUGCUGGCAAGGAGAUUUAGGUUGGUUCUAAGUUCCAAUUUAGAUUAAUUCUGAUGACAUAGUUCUGUUGACUGCAGCUUUGCAUGAGAAUGAGAGAAAGAGCAUGCUUGUCAGGGUUCAUGAAAGGGACAUGGUUGUAUACAAGAGUGUUCUCUCUCGGCGUCAUAAGAUCUUGUAAUCUGCAAAGCAUGCAAUCUUCAUGCAAGUCUGCCUGCCCUCAAUUACAAGCAUGAAACAUUGGACAAUGGCUGAUGAGUUAGCUUUGCUGAUUAAUGCUUUGCCUGACAACGAGAGAGAGCACUUUUGUCCGCACUCAUACAAAGGCCAUGGUUGUGUACAAGAGUGCUCUCUCUUGGUGUCAUUCGAUCGCGAUACCAGUGAAGUCUUCUCUCAUUGAUCAUGAAGUUCUGGCAAAAAGGGAAAUUAAGGUUAGUUCUCAGUUCCAAUGCUGGUUUACUUUUUAAGUGUAUUAAUUUGAGUUUCAUGCUGAUACUCUGCUUCUUAUAAUCUUUUUGGUUGUGUUGCAUUUGGGGAUGUUUUAUUUUCUUUUGGUAUCCUACUUAUAGAUUGGAAGAAUAAUGGGCUCCACCAUGAGCCAAAUGUCAAAUGACAAUAUCUUUUAUAUAUUGUUGUAUUCAGCAGUAUUGGUGUCAGUCAUCAUCAUUUGUCACUCCCAUCCAGAGAUGGUCAUUAGGGGAAUAUUCAUCCACCUUCUUAGUCAUAGGCAAAAGGGUGGAGUCGGUCCGCCUCUGUGAUAGCUCCACUUCCUGGUCUUUCUUUGGGAAAACGUUUUACUUCAGUAGUUUUUGUUGUGCUUGCUUGCUUGGAGGGUUAAAGUACCUUUUUCCUAGUCCAAAAGCUUUUCGUCAGUUCGGAAGAUCUGAUCCAACAGAUUUUCCAUAUUGUCAGCUGCCUCAAACGAGGGUUAUUAUUAUCAUGGUUUUGAGUUGAGGGAUUGUUGAUCACUUUCUGUCCUAAUUUUCAACUUUUUUCUUUAAUUUGUAGUUGGUGAUAUAUAGUUAGUGACAACAUCGUAUUCAAUUGUAAGAUAUACUUAGAAACACUGGAUUGAUAAAGGAUGCGUCAGUCAAGGAAUCUGCCGUCUUUAUUAUAUCUGUAUUUUUAACAUGGAAUCAUCUGUUCACAAGUUUUAAUUAGUUUGUAACAUACCUAUCAGCUGAUGCAGUAAAGACAAGAGUAGGGUUACGUGUCUAAUUCACUAGGUUUCCGCAGCUCCCUAAGUGAUGGGAAAUGUCUGUUAAACUUAAAGAUAUACUCUCACCAGUAUCUACCAAUUGAAUCCCAGAGAAUUUGGUUGGAAAUUAAUGGCAGAAUAUACUAGCUUAUAAUGAGAUCCAAGGAUAAAUAGGGAGUCAUGGAUCGAUUGUUCUUAUGGAGGGUCGGUAUGGUCACAAACCAAUUUUUUCUCUAUUCCUACAUCAUUAUUUUUCCAAGGAUUCAACUAUUACUUCCCCUUUUCCAAUAAUAUAUUUACGCACUACUUAUGGGUUUUGUGCCAGUUUCAUCAUUUUUUGUUGGUACACGACAUUCUUGUAAAUAGAAUCCUGAUCUAUAUACAUGCAUGGCAGAUGUUAGAAAUUAACCACUCGUACUUAGCCCAACCCCCUUUCUUCUUAUGAAAUUCUCUCAUCUUCUUUAAUCCAACAUGUAAAGUCUUCCCUUUUCCUUAUUUACAAUUAGUUUGGUGCAACAUACUACAUAUAUCACAUUUAGGUAUUCACCUACCAAUCCUGGUACAGCUUGACUAGUUGUAUCUUCUGUGCUGUAUAUCAAAACUGAACUUGAUGCUACUUGAUUCAGUGAUGAAGUAUAUUUGUACUCUUGCUCGGCUGUUGUGUAGUAGUAAAUUGUAAUUGUCUUUAAGAAAUUCCCUUGAAAAUCAUUUAGUGCGAAGUGGUAGUUUUAUAAUAUGAUCUGAAGUUGAGAACAUCUUAUUCAUUAGUUUUUCCUAUAGAAACUGCUACUUGACUACCACUCGCGACUACCAAAGAAAACUAUCAAAAUGUUGGCUGAUAUGGUAGAUUGUAGUCUUGGAUGCUACAUAUGGGACUCUUUGGCCCUACAUCUACAAGUGCUCAGAUCCUAGCCCAUACUUCGGUAGUUGAGAUUUCUAGUUGUAAGUGGUGGAGGUCUUGUAGCUAAAAUAUAUUCCCCUAAGUUUUAGACUUUGUUGUUGCUUCUGACGGUGGUGUUAAUCAGAUUCUAUGACAUCAGAUUGUUGCACAACAUCUCAUGAUCUCUAUGUUAUGACUUUUCCCGCUUUGAUUGACAGGUUGUAUACUUGUGCCUUUACGUAUCCAGUCCUCCCUACUUUUUGUGGUCUAUUAGUAGAGUUUCAAGCCUUGUGUAUUGACACGAGGCUUAUGAGUCAUGAAGCUGUUGACGAAAACAGGCAGAAUGCUGUGUGUAGUUUUGGGUUCUAACAGGUAAACAUUUGCUGCGGGUUUAUAUUUUGCACGGAGGCACAGUUGGGCUGCUACUUGAGUAUUCUGGAGCUGUGAACAAUGGGAGCUGGAAGUCCAGGAACCUUCGCAUGUUGGCAUCUGCAAGUAGUAUUCGUACUAUUUGAAUAUGGUUUAAAUUGUUGCAAAUUGAUGCGCAAAGUAAAACACGGAAAACGGGGUCAUCCACCAUUGCAGUGGCCGAAUGGCGAAGUUGAUAUGAUCAAUAUGAAAAAAGAAAAUAAAAGGAAAGAAGGGAGUUUUGUUUUUUAAUUUUUUGUUUUUUAAUAUGGAGUUUAAUUUUCUUGAUUCAUGUAAUUUGAGUUUUAACUAUGUAAAUGACAUGGCCAAAUAUUUGCCAAUAAUCUAGUCAA